RNAcentral lists this ribosomal RNA (253 nucleotides) under uncultured bacterium. RNAcentral's name for it is "partial 16S ribosomal RNA". It matches the Rfam family "Bacterial small subunit ribosomal RNA", at positions 524 to 776 of the family's 1533-position model. The record is from RNAcentral.
UACGGGGGGGGUAAGCGUUGUUCGGAAUUACUGGGCGUAAAGGGCUCGUAGGCGGCCAACUAAGUCAUACGUGAAAUCCCUCAGCUUAACUGGGGAACUGCGUGUGAUACUGGAUGGCUUGGAUUUGGGAGAGGGAUGCGGAAUUCCAGGUGUAGCGGUGAAAUGCGUAGAUAUCUGGAGGAACACCGGUGGCGAAGGCGGCAUCCUGGACCAAAAUUGACGCUGAGGAGCGAAAGCCAGGGGAGCAAACGGG